ACGCUCCAGCUAACCGGCGUGCGGCUGAGGAGCACGGAAGAGAGCACGGGCGCGCGGCGCCUUCCAAAAAGCCCUAGGCCCCGCCCACUCGCUCAGCAAGGAUGCCAAUGCCCUGGAGAGUGGAAAAGAUGCUACUGAAACAUCUCAACAUAACACAGGGACUAGAGAGCCUUUUUUCAACCAAAUGGGAGUUAUCCCCAAAACUCUAAACUCACUAUGAUGAAUUUAAGUAAGCCUGUCUUGGAAGCUGUUACAGGAAAAAAGUCAAAGAAAGGAAGAAUUUUGUGUGCUACAAAAUCCUCUGG
Varanus komodoensis (Komodo dragon) is the source of this 305-nucleotide long non-coding RNA. RefSeq lists it as uncharacterized. NCBI's taxonomy places the organism in Eukaryota, Metazoa, Chordata, Lepidosauria, Squamata, Varanidae. The record is from RefSeq and is a predicted model, not a curated record. The transcript is spliced from 3 exons.